This 294-nucleotide ribosomal RNA is filed under the name Triticum aestivum (bread wheat). RNAcentral describes it as "partial small subunit ribosomal RNA". The record is from RNAcentral. Lineage: Eukaryota; Viridiplantae; Streptophyta; Magnoliopsida; Poales; Poaceae.
AUGGCGGGCGGCGACACACUGGACAGCUUCGCCGGCAAGCUCGGAGCAAUGACGGCGCGGUUCGCGGGGCUGGGCUCGACGUUGGAGGACGCCGCACUCAUGAAGAAGUUGCUCGAUUCGGUGCCGGACCGUCUGUACGGGGCGGUGGCCAGGAUCGAGCAGUUCUGUGAUGUGAGCACGAUGGCGUUCGAGGAGGCCUUGGGUCGCCUGAAGGCGUUCGACGAGCGGCUCUGGCGACGCGGGCAGGCAGGCGGCGAGCUGGCGGACGGGGCGCUCAUGUACACAACGGCGUAA